RNAcentral lists this ribosomal RNA (483 nucleotides) under uncultured bacterium. RNAcentral's name for it is "SSU rRNA". It matches the Rfam family "Bacterial small subunit ribosomal RNA", at positions 26 to 521 of the family's 1533-position model. The record is from RNAcentral.
AGGACGAACGCUGGCGGCGUGCUUAACACAUGCAAGUCGAACGGUGACCUUGGAGCUUGCUCCAGGCGAUCAGUGGCGAACGGGUGAGUAACACGUGAGUAACCUGCCCCUCACUCUGGGAUAACCCCGGGAAACCGGAGCUAAUACCGGAUACGACUCAAGUAGGCAUCUACAUUGAGUGGAAAGUUUUUCGGUGGGGGAUGGACUCGCGGCCUAUCAGCUUGUUGGUGAGGUAAUGGCCCACCAAGGCGACGACGGGUAGCCGGCCUGAGAGGGCGACCGGCCACACUGGGACUGAGACACGGCCCAGACUCCUACGGGAGGCAGCAGUGGGGAAUAUUGCACAAUGGGCGAAAGCCUGAUGCAGCGACGCCGCGUGAGGGAUGAAGGCCUUCGGGUUGUAAACCUCUUUCAGCAGGGAGAAGCGAAAGUGACGGUACCUGCAGAAGAAGCACCGGCUAACUACGCGCCAGCAGCCGCGGU